Long non-coding RNA from Vespa crabro (European hornet), 3525 nucleotides. RefSeq lists it as uncharacterized. The transcript is spliced from 2 exons. The record is from RefSeq and is a predicted model, not a curated record. NCBI's taxonomy places the organism in Eukaryota, Metazoa, Arthropoda, Insecta, Hymenoptera, Vespidae.
AAAAAGAAAAAAAAGGGGAAAAGGAUGAAAAUCGUAUCCGCUCGAUGUUAAACGUCGAAAACAAUAGAGCAAUUAGCAUAGCAGCCAAAGCGACGCAAGAGUCGGCCAAGUAAUACAGCGAGAUGGGAAGGAAAACUUUGCGUGGCCCCGCGACUCGUUUAACCAAGUUUACGUCCUGGAACUAGUAGGAUGGGAGGGGAAGCGCGACCCGAUGUAAACGGAGAAGAGAAACGGCGAGGAAGGAAUUGGCGGUGAUGUUGUUUCUGCAUUCGCGAUGUUUGCAAAGCACUUUUGCCGUUUCUAACUCUCUAAACCUCCGCCUGCUACCAGAGUUUCGCCUUUUUAUCGCUGACUCGGGGCCGACUGUUCUGCCACGUGGAAAAUAUGUCUCCGUUGGUUCGACGGCUCUCUCCCAUCCGAAGAAUCUCAUAGAUCAUAAGCGAUAAGCUCUCGAACGUGUCGGUCUCGGUGGAGCAAUCGAUAGGGCCAGUAUUUUCCACGUGCGAGAGAAUGUCCAAGUUUAUCUUCUUUCCCUCUCUUUCUCUCUAUUUUCCUCGAGUCGUGUCGUGUCGAGUCGAGUCGAGUCGAGUCGAGUCGAGUCGAGGGUGUGCACAGCAAUUAGAAAAAGACCAGAGGGAGGGUAGACUUAUAUAUGUGCUCUCGUGAGAUCCCCUCGUAAAGAUUAGAGAGAGAGAGAGAGAGAGAGAGAGAGAGAGAGAGAGAGAGGAGGCUCGCGUCGAAACAGGGAAGAUGUCUAAUCAGGGCGAAGAAAGGCAGUAAGUGCACGCGCGUGCGCGACACGAGGGAGGAUGAAGGUACAUCAUGAUAAGGGCGAUCGUGGCGAUACUUAUCGAAGACGGUGGCCUGAAAAUUGUCCGGGUCAAAGGGCAAACGGAACAGGGUGGAGUGCUCUCAAAGACGGUCACGUUUGUAAUUAUAGACUUCAUUCUCUCUCUCUCCCUCUCUCUCUCUCUCUCUCUCUCUCUCUCUCUAUUUCUCACUCCUCUGUCUCUCUCUCUCUCUCUCUCUCUACCUCUCUCAUUCUCUCUCCCAUUUCCACUUUAUUAGGAAAAUCUCCGAGGAUAGUUUUAUCCUAAAGGUCGCACCGGCCAACUCUCUUAUCCUUCGACAAUGAAACGAGUUUGGCUUAUCUUCUAAACAUUAAAUCAAAUUAGUUAAUGCCCGAUUAUUUUUGUACAUUAUCAUUGUACGUUAUUAAUUGCACGUUAACGUCGUGGGAUUAAAGAUCCCUGCUAGGUGGCAGAUCGAAUGCGGGAGGGCCAUGUCUGUAAUUACAGUUACGGACGCUCGACGAUCGUACCUCGUACGCUUCAUUAAGAAAAUUUCCCAGACUUUAUUUUAAACGAAGAUUAAACACCCUGGAUGGGAAAACGGCACCUUGGUAUCUCGAUCUCUCCGUCUUUCUCCUUUUACUCUCGUUUCUCUUUCGGCAUUAAUAUCGAUCGGAGAUACGCGUGCUUUUACCAACUAUUAUUCCUCUCCGUUUUUUAUUCGUUAGGAACAAUAAAAUGUGUUGACGAAUAUUCACGAAAUCGACACAAUAGGUAGUAGCAGCGAUUCGACGCUAAUAAGGUGCCUGUUUCGCGAGACUGCUACGAUGAUUAACAGUCUUCUCUCCCGGUUCACCACCAUUGUAGAAAAUAAAACCAGCCUGGAUUUCUCUCUCUCUCUCUCUCUCUUUAUUUUCCUCUUUCAGUUCGUCGAAAUAAUUACACGGAGAGCGUUAGGCGGAUACGCGAGACGGGGUAGCAAUUUAAGCUCGAAACAUUUUUUUCCCUUCGUUGCGUAUGGAAUAACCGCGAAAAGCGUGGGAAUGGAUAGAAACGAGAGAGAGAGAGAGAGAGAGAGAGAGAGGGAGAGAAAUGUGUUAUCGCGUUGAUAGCUGCGCUACACGCGCGUGUAUAUGUAUGCGAAAAGAAGAAGGAUGAAAAGAGAAGAAGAGGAAAAGAGAGAGGUAGAAGCGACAUUCAUUAAUCGACGCUGUGGCGUCGUCACCCUUUAAACGCGCAAAAGCCUUUGCGUCUCAUUAGUGUGUCACCGAGAGAAGGGUACGCCAGGUUGGAACACACUCUCGGUUAGACCUAUCCUGUCGCUCGUCACGACUCUUCAUUCUCUUUUUCAUUCCUUCAACCCUCCUCUCUCGAUCAUUCGUCGUCUCCUCCGCGCUUUCGAAACCGAAGAAGAAUCCGUAAAGAGAAGAGAGAAAAGAGGGUUGCAAGGGAAGAAGAGCGCGCGUGCCCUCUUCAUCGAAUGUGCCCUUUGUACUCGGUCUCAGUGAGGCUGACGUCGAGAGGAAGCGUCGAGAGAACGGAACGCGAUAACGCUGAACUUGGCGUGCAUAGAUGAUCUUUGGCGAAGGAAGGAAAUGACUUUGGGCUAAAUCUCGGAUUCUCUUUGGUCACUCGAAGCCGUAUAAAAGGCAAUAACGGAAGGCACGAUGGAUGAAGUGGAUAUCCUCUUCAUUGAAUGCACGCUUCGAGCCUUGGUACGGGACGGCUGCAGCCACGGCUGCGGCCACGAGUAUACGGAUACGUCGACGUCAACGGCGAAGACAAAGAGAAAGAAGAGCUCUUGGAAAACAGAGAACUACUACUACCGCCGCCGCCGCCGCCGCCGCCGCUGCCGCUUCCUCCUUCUUCCGCUCGUCCUCCCUCGCUCGCAUUCUCAUUCUUCUCUUCCACCCCACGAUUUUCGCCGGACGCGAUAACACUGAACUUGGAUCACGUCGUACGUUAUCGGAUCGAGAAUUAACGAUCAUGGCCUACAUUCGCAAAAAUCCCUACCCUCCCUACCCCUAUUCUCCCCCGUCGCCUUUUAUUUCUCACACGUUCGAUAAAGCUUGCCACGUUCUCGCGCUUCGCGCGUUUACCCACGUCUACGUAUGUCGAAACGCGUUGAAAUGUGACGAACUGUGUGUGAUUCGAUGGAAGAAGAGUAUCGAAGACGGAUUAUAUAAGCUGUCGAACGGGAGACGAACGGAGUACAGAGGGAUAGUCUGAAAUUCUAUUUCCUCGAUAGCAAGAGUUUCGCGUUUAGAAGGAAUCUAGGCGAAAGCUCGAGGAUAAAGGAGCAGAGGAUAGAAACGGAACGUCCUCGCGCGAUAACGGUUCGCUCGGUCUAGAGCAUACGUUACCGAAAGGUGCUGAUUCUCGAGAAGGAACACGGCAAGAGUUCUUUCGUGGCUGGCUAUCGAUCGAUCGAUCCUGGAUUAUCGACGAUUGAUCCGUUUACAUUGGUGCUCCAUUAUCGUCGGACCGACUUUGGAGGGUCAGGAGCCAGGGGGUAGACGGGGAGGGGGAGGGGUGGAGAAGUCUAGGACGCUCCGAGAUGUUCCCCGAUAGCUUUGUGCGAAGAAUCGGACGUAUUAUGUGCUCCUAUCCGCAAACUCGUAAAUCUCACCGAGUGACCGAUGAAUUCUUAAGAGACGACGAUCCCUUUUCUAACGAUCCUACUACUCGAGAGGGGAUGCCUCCAAUGGAAUAAAGGAAUUUGACCCCCUAUAAA